Molecule: long non-coding RNA, 1800 nt
Organism: Oryzias latipes (Japanese medaka)
Lineage: Eukaryota; Metazoa; Chordata; Actinopteri; Beloniformes; Adrianichthyidae
Source: RefSeq, a predicted model, not a curated record
ACCAAAGCAUUAAGAAUCAUGUUUGCCACAGAAAAUGUGCAGCCUUUUUGCUGACUCUGUCUUUUGCCUGUGAGAGCGGCCUUUUACAAGAAGAGUUGAUGUCAUCAAGGGUGGUAACAGACCAUCAGCAUUUCUGCGAAAAAUGUGAAGGGAAUUCUGUGUUAGCUGGAUAAUAUGUGAUCGGGAGCUUUACUUAAGGGAAAAGCUGUGAGGCCAGCAGAUGUGUUUUCCUCUGUGGAACAAGUGCAUGAAGGACUGUAAUCUCCAGACUAACUUUUUUCUUUUAAUCCAGAUUGAGGAUCUUGUGCUGCAGAGGGAUUCAGUGAGCAACACACACAUGACGUCAGGUUGUUAAACCAUUUUUUGGGCUUGCUGUGGCACUUUAAUGUAAAAUGUAUCAAAGGAGGACCUCAUUUUUAAAGUUGCACUUAAAGCUUUACUCCUUACUGCUUUUGAUUUAGAGGAGGGCCUGGUUUCUUUUGUGAAAAAAAUGUAAAACUCCAGUCUCUAACCGUUUUGCAUUUGGUGUUUUUGUUCUCUUUGUCCGUUUUACUCUUUAAAAGCUGAGGCGGAUAAGGUUCAUGGAUGAUUGGUGACCGUUGAGACCACGAGCUGCUCCCACUCGCACAGGAUACAGACUAAAUGGAAUCCACCCACAUCCAGAUUUUGGCCUCAAAGUCCGGUUCAGCUGGUUCCAUGAGGGCUAACAAACUAACUGUGGGUGGGUUUCAAUUAAGUUGGCCUUGCAGACCAGGUUGAACCAGCUCCAUCCUUUGGACAUGCAGUCCUUCAGGCCUCCUUUGAUGAUCUCUAGGUUGGACCCGACGAGUGCCAGUAAGGCGGCAGCGCCGCCGUAUAAUUACCUGCUGGCAUCCAGGAAUGAGCUCUGAAAGAAGAAAAAGAAAAAAGGAGCCCUGCUGUGCCGUGACUCAGUCCUGGAAAAUGAAACAGGAGGAUGUUGGGGAUGCAGAGUGAUCAAAGGAGCUGGUCCGGGGAGAAAGGAGCACGGCAUAAUGCGGAGCAGACGAGAGGAUAACCUUGGAAACAGAUCGUAUUUGUGUCGUAGAAAAUGCGCUUCCCGCUCCGCUCCAUUCUGAUGCAUCCACUUGGAGACGGCUACAUCCCUGUACGUCUGAGCCCGCUGCCAGGUUGGGGGUGUGAGAGGCUGUAAGCAGCACUUGUAAACAGAGAGCUGUCAGUUAUGGGGUGAUGGGAAGGGGGGGUGGAGAUUCUCCUUGCCAAUGGUCACAACUCGGAGGUGAAUUUCUAAUGAACUAUUGCCGCUCUGCAGAAACUACGUUGUAGAAAUUGUCAGGUGCUUAUGGAUUUUUGGCUAAAAACUGCAUAAUCAUAUAUUAAAAUAGAUCCAAAAAAUGAUCAAAGUGGGUCUUUGAUGUGUUAAGUGAUCCAAAUGGCUGUGAUUUGAGUCCCGGUCCCCCUUUUGAAUCCCAUUUGUCCAUCCUUAGCAGCGUCAUGAAACACUGUUUGAUUUGACACAUUGAGGUUUUUGUAAAUGUGUCACGCUGCAUAUCUGCUCUUUUGUUGCAGGUGUACCGGCCGAGGUCGAUGUGUGCGGGCUUGUUAGCAUCUCUUUGUGGCUCUGUUCUCUGUCUCCGUGCACAUGGAGCUGCAGAGCUCCCAUCGUUGUCUGGCUUAACGCUCCGACAGGAGAAAAUAAUGGGGCUGAAGCUGCUGGGGAUGACAAAAGGGGCCAAAGCAUUUGGAAUGCCAUGACAUGUUUGUUCACUGUGAAGAUGUUUCUGCUCUUAAAUAAAAAAAAAUAUGCCGCACAGGAAGACA